UGGCGGACGGGUGAGUAAUGUCGGGGAAACUGCCCGAUGGAGGGGGAUAACUACUGGAAACGGUAGCUAAUACCGCAUAACGUCGCAAGACCAAAGAGGGGGACCUUCGGGCCUCUUGCCAUCGGAUGUGCCCAGAUGGGAUUAGCUAGUAGGUGGGGUAACGGCUCACCUAGGCGACGAUCCCUAGCUGGUCUGAGAGGAUGACCAGCCACACUGGAACUGAGACACGGUCCAG
This 235-nucleotide ribosomal RNA is filed under the name uncultured bacterium. RNAcentral's name for it is "partial 16S ribosomal RNA". It matches the Rfam family "Bacterial small subunit ribosomal RNA", at positions 96 to 334 of the family's 1533-position model. The record is from RNAcentral.